GGCCUCGUAGUUGAGUUGGCUAGAGCGUUGGCUGUACUGAAGGCUUUCCCUUGCUGGCGUGGGCUCGAAUCCUACCGAGGCCG
Molecule: transfer RNA, 83 nt
Filed under: Schistocephalus solidus
Lineage: Eukaryota; Metazoa; Platyhelminthes; Cestoda; Diphyllobothriidea; Diphyllobothriidae
Rfam family: tRNA
About the family: Transfer RNA (tRNA) molecules are approximately 80 nucleotides in length. Their secondary structure includes four short double-helical elements and three loops (D, anti-codon, and T loops).
Source: Rfam by way of RNAcentral